RNAcentral lists this ribosomal RNA (202 nucleotides) under Magallana gigas (Pacific oyster). RNAcentral describes it as "Crassostrea gigas (Pacific oyster) partial 16S ribosomal RNA". Lineage: Eukaryota; Metazoa; Mollusca; Bivalvia; Ostreida; Ostreidae. The record is from RNAcentral.
GCAACUUUGAAAAUUAACUUUAUUCAGGAGUAAAAGAUUUUUAGGUGGGGCGCCUAGAAAGCAAGUCUAACCUUUCUGAAUAACUAACUCUUUCCGGAUUUGACCCGAUUAUAUUCGAUCAUAGGAGAAGUUACGCCGGGGAUAACAGGCUAAUCCUUUAGUAGAGUUCGUAUUGGCUAAAGGGAUUGCCACCUCGAUGUUG